AUGGACAUGAGGGUGCCUGCUCAGCUCCUGGGCCUCCUGCUGCUCUGGCUCCCAGGUGCCAGCUGUGCUGUUCAGAUCACCCAGUCACCAUCCGUGGUGUCUGCACCUGUGGGAGGCACAGUCACCUUCAAUUGCCAGUCAAGUCAGAGUGUUUACAACAACAAUAAUCUAAACUGGUACCAGCAGAAAUCAGGACAGCGACCUAAGCCCCUGAUCUAUGCUGCAUCCAAUUUAGAGUCUGGGGUCCCUGACAGGUUCAAGGGCAGUGGAUCUGGGAAAUCAUUCACUCUCACCAUCAGCCCGGUGCAGGCUGAGGACGCAGGAACCUACUACUGUUUUGGAGAGUAUGAUGAUGAUAAUGAUACCACAGCAAUACAAGCCCUAAUAAAAACCUCCCAGGAAAGCAGAAGUAUGACACAGUCUCCGUCUCUGGCGUAUGCAACUGUGGGAAACACAGUCAGCAUCAAUCGCCAGAAGAGUCAGAGUGUUGAGAACAACAAUGCUCUAGCCUGGUUUCAGCAGAAACCAGGGCAGCCUCCAAAGCGCCUGAUCUACAGUGCAUCCACUUUAGAGUCUGGGGUCCCUGACAGGUUCAAGGGCAGUGGAUCUGGGACAUCAUUCACUCUCACCAUCAGUGGGGUGCAGUCUGAGGAUGUCAGAACUUACUACUGA
Non-coding RNA from Ochotona curzoniae (black-lipped pika), 672 nucleotides. The record is from the annotation of a RefSeq genome assembly. Lineage: Eukaryota; Metazoa; Chordata; Mammalia; Lagomorpha; Ochotonidae.